Molecule: long non-coding RNA, 324 nt
Filed under: Fukomys damarensis (Damara mole-rat)
Lineage: Eukaryota; Metazoa; Chordata; Mammalia; Rodentia; Bathyergidae
Description: lncRNA (ENSFDAG00000024374.1)
Source: RNAcentral
CUCACAGGCUGUGAGAACUCUGUUCAUGGAUCUUUCAAAAGCAAGACGGAAAAUGGAUCUGAUCAUCAUGAAGGAUCAAGAGAAGAUGGAAUAAAGAAAUGAGAAAGGAUCAGGCUGCACAGAGAUAUGAAGGUGACAGCAAUAAUAAAAACGGGACGACGAUGGAACCCAGAAAAUGUCUCCUACUGCUUUGUGCCUGCAGUGAAGCAAUGCAUAGCAUCCAAGCAUCCUCCGAGGGAAUCCGCACUAACAGGCUUCAAGGCACAGCCAGCAAGACCAUGUGAGAGAGUGCUGCUGACCUCUCCCACGUACCCUUCCUGCCUG